CACCAAUCAGCCAAAAACUCAAAAAUAAAACAGUUAUAUACACCUACCCAGUAGUGGGGGAGUGAACCCAUUGUCAAUCCCUUGCCCGAAGGGCUGAGGAAGGUCCACGGAGCAGCAGGCACCAGGGGCUAAACCCUGGAGUAAUUUGCAGCAAGGAAUGACUGCAUGCAGGGAACCAUUGCUUAAUUUGGAUUCUGCUGCUGAGAAUGUUUUAUAUCUAUUUGCAGAAUUAGGAAGUCUGGUGUGUAAAGUAGAUAUUUCAG
This 263-nucleotide unclassified non-coding RNA is filed under the name Hevea brasiliensis (rubber tree). The record is from RNAcentral. Lineage: Eukaryota; Viridiplantae; Streptophyta; Magnoliopsida; Malpighiales; Euphorbiaceae.